This 324-nucleotide ribosomal RNA is filed under the name uncultured bacterium. RNAcentral describes it as "bacterial SSU rRNA". It matches the Rfam family "Bacterial small subunit ribosomal RNA", at positions 28 to 334 of the family's 1533-position model. The record is from RNAcentral.
GACGAACGCUGGCGGCGUGCCUAACACAUGCAAGUCGAACGGAACUUACCGAAUGAAGUUUUCGGAUGGAUUUUGAUAAGUUUAGUGGCGGACGGGUGAGUAACGCGUGAGUAACCUGCCUUCAAGAGGGGAAUAACGUUCUGAAAAGAACGCUAAUACCGCAUAACAUACGGAUGUCGCAUGGCAACCGUAUCAAAGAUUAUAUCGCUUGAAGAUGGACUCGCGUCCGAUUAGCCAGUUGGCGGGGUAACGGCCCACCAAAGCGACGAUCGGUAGCCGACCUGAGAGGGUGAUCGGCCACAUUGGAACUGAGAGACGGUCCAA